GCCCAGACUCCUACGGGAGGCAGCAGUGGGGGAUAUUGCACAAUGGGGGGAACCCUGAUGCAGCGACGCCGCGUGGGUGAAGGAGCGUUUCGGCGCGUAAAGCCCUAUCGGCAGGGAAGAAGGAGGACGGUACCUGACUAAGAAGCCCCGGCUAACUACGUGCCAGCAGCCGCGGUAAUACGUAGGGGGCAAGCGUUAUCCGGAUUUACUGGGUGUAAAGGGAGCGUAGACGGCGAUGCAAGUCUGAAGUGAAAGGCGGGGGCCCAACCCCCGGACUGCUUUGGAAACUGUAUAGCUGGAGUGCAGGAGAGGUAAGUGGAAUUCCUAGUGUAGCGGUGAAAUGCGUAGAUAUUAGGAAGAACACCAGUGGCGAAGGCGGCUUUCUGGACUGAAACUGACGCUGAGGCACGAAAGCGUGGGGAGCGAACAGGAUUAGAUACCCUAGUA
This 447-nucleotide ribosomal RNA is filed under the name uncultured bacterium. RNAcentral describes it as "partial 16S ribosomal RNA". It matches the Rfam family "Bacterial small subunit ribosomal RNA", at positions 329 to 792 of the family's 1533-position model. The record is from RNAcentral.